GACGAACGCUGGCGGCGUGCUUAACACAUGCAAGUCGAACGGAAAGGCCCUGCUUUUGUGGGGUGCUCGAGUGGCGAACGGGUGAGUAACACGUGAGUAACCUGCCCUUGACUUUGGGAUAACUUCAGGAAACUGGGGCUAAUACCGGAUAGGAGCUCCUGCUGCAUGGUGGGGGUUGGAAAGUUUCGGCGGUUGGGGAUGGACUCGCGGCUUAUCAGCUUGUUGGUGGGGUAGUGGCUUACCAAGGCGUUGACGGGUAGCCGGCCUGAGAGGGUGACCGGCGACAUUGGGACUGAGAUACGGCCCAGACUCCUACGGGAGGCAGCAGUGGGGAAUAUUGCACAAUGGGCGGAAGCCUGAUGCAGCAACGCCGCGUGCGGGAUGACGGCCUUCGGGUUGUAAACCGCUUUCGCCUGUGACGAAGCGUGAGUGACGGUAAUGGGUAAAGAAGCACCGGCUAACUACGUG
RNAcentral lists this ribosomal RNA (468 nucleotides) under uncultured bacterium. RNAcentral describes it as "partial 16S ribosomal RNA". It matches the Rfam family "Bacterial small subunit ribosomal RNA", at positions 28 to 507 of the family's 1533-position model. The record is from RNAcentral.